AAGUCGUAACAAGGUUUCCGUAGGUGAACCUGCGGAAGGAUCAUUGUCGAAACCUGCCUAGCAGAACGACCCGUGGACAUGUAUUAAAAACCGGGCGUUGUGGGGACGGAGCCUCGGCCCCUGACCGAUGACGCCCUGUCGACAAGCGCUCGUUGUUCGCUCUUACGGGUGCUGCGUUUGUCUUGUCGACGCAAUAACCAACCCCGGCACGGAACGUGCCAAGGAACCUACAACUUAAGAAGCGCACGUCUUGCGUCGCCCCGUUUGCGGUGUGCGCGCGGGCUUGUUGCCUCUUAGAAUCACAAACGACUCUCGGCAACGGAUAUCUCGGCUCACGCAUCGAUGAAGAACGUAGCAAAAUGCGAUACUUGGUGUGAAUUGCAGAAUCCCGUGAACCAUCGAGUUUUUGAACGCAAGUUGCGCCCGAAGCCAUUCGGCCGAGGGCACGUCUGCCUGGGCGUCACGCAUCGCGUCGCCCCCCACAACGCCUCCCCAACGGGAGCGCGCCUUGUGUCGGGGGCGGAGAUUGGCCUCCUGUGCUUGUGGCGCUGUUGGCCUAAAAUGAGUCCCCUUCGGCAGAUGCACGACUAGUGGUGGUUGUCAAGGCCCUCGUUUCUUGUCGUGUGUCAUGUGUCUCUAGGUGUGUCUUGCAAAGACCCUAACGCGUCGUCUCCUGACGAUGCUUCGACCGCGACCCCAGGUCAGGCGGGACUACCCGCUGAGUUUAA
This 728-nucleotide ribosomal RNA is filed under the name Leibnitzia anandria. Its description in RNAcentral is "eukaryotic LSU rRNA". The stretch from base 308 to 463 matches the Rfam family "5.8S ribosomal RNA". The record is from RNAcentral. Lineage: Eukaryota; Viridiplantae; Streptophyta; Magnoliopsida; Asterales; Asteraceae.